This is an RNA transcript of Sapajus apella (tufted capuchin), 1059 nucleotides long. It is a transcript of the gene named GDP-L-fucose synthase pseudogene, with no coding region annotated. The transcript is spliced from 2 exons. The record is from RefSeq and is a predicted model, not a curated record. NCBI's taxonomy places the organism in Eukaryota, Metazoa, Chordata, Mammalia, Primates, Cebidae.
AUGAGAGACUGGGGCCUUCAUGUGGGAAAAGAUAAUUUGCUGUUGCUACUUCAUGAAUCGAGGGCGGUGAGGUGGGAUGCACGUGCAGCUGACGUGGGUGAACCCCAGGGGUCCAUGCGGAUUCUAGUGACAUGGGGCUCUGGGCUGGUGGGCAAAGCCAUCCAGAAGGUGGUAGCAGAUGGAGCUGGCCUUCCUGGAUAGGACUGGGCGUUUGUCUCCUCCAAGGACGCCCAUCUCAGGGAUACAGCACUGACCCGCCCCCUGUUUGAGAACGUUCGACCCACGCACGUCAUCCAUCUUGCUGCAAUGGUGGGGGACCUGUUUUGGAAUAUCAAAUACAAUUUGGACUUCUGGAGGAAAAAUGUGCACAUCAAUGACAACGUCCUGCACGCGGCCUUCGAAGUGGGCGCCUGCAAGGUCUUGUCCUGCCUGUCCAUUUGUAUUUUUCCUGUCAAGACUACCUACCCCACAGCUGAGACCAUGAGCCACAGUGGGCAGCCCCACAGCAGCAAUUUUGGGUACUCGCAUGCCAAGAGGAUGAUCGACGUGCAGAACAGGGCCUACUUCCAGCAGCAUGGCUGCACGUUCACCGCUCUCAUCCCCACCAACGUCUUCAGGCCCCAUGACAACUUCAACAUUGAGGAUGGCCACGUGCUACCUGGCCUCAUCCACAAGGUGCGCCUGGCCAAGAGCAGCGGCUCAGCCCUGAUGGUGUGGGGUACGGGGAAGCCACGGAGGCAGUUUAUAUACUCGCUGGACCUGGCCUAGCUCUGUAUCUGGGUCCUGUGGGAGUACAGCGAGGUGGAGCCCGUUAUCCUCUCAGUGGGCGAGGAAGAUGAGGUCUCCAUCAGGGAGGCAGCCGAGGCGGUGGUGGAGGCUAUGGACUUCCAUGGGGAGGCCACCUUUGAUACAACCAAGUCAGACGGGCAGUUUAAGAAGACAGCCAGUAACAGCAAGCUGAGGACAUACCUGCCCGGCUUCCGGUUCACACCCUUCAAGCAGGCGGUGAAGGAGACCUGUGCUUGGUUCACUGACAACUAGGAGCAGCCCAGGAAGUGA